This 208-nucleotide long non-coding RNA is filed under the name Mytilus galloprovincialis (Mediterranean mussel). The record is from RNAcentral. Lineage: Eukaryota; Metazoa; Mollusca; Bivalvia; Mytilida; Mytilidae.
AAAUUGGGGUCAAAACUAUAAUUUGGCAUUAAAAUUAGGAAGAUCAUAUCAUCGGGAACAUGUGUACUAAGUUUCAAGUUGAUUGGAUUUCAACUUCAUCAAAAACUACCUUGACCAAAAACUUUAACCUGAAGCGAACGGAUGGACGGACGGACGCACAGAUCAGAAAACAUAAAGUCCCUCUACUAUCGUAGGUGGGGCAUAAAAA